This 2001-nucleotide long non-coding RNA is filed under the name Gadus morhua (Atlantic cod). Its description in RNAcentral is "lncRNA (ENSGMOG00000030727.1)". Lineage: Eukaryota; Metazoa; Chordata; Actinopteri; Gadiformes; Gadidae. The record is from RNAcentral.
GCUACUGUUCCCAGAAGAAAAACGCUUUUCAUAGUCUUUUGUGAAUCAAUGGGACUGUUACUUAGGCCUACCUUUCUGACCACUUUAAUUAGAUUUACAUUUUGUGAUUCAAACAACAGGCCCACCUCGUAAUAUGUAGCAUAAUGGAUAGCCUAGAGCAUGGUUUCAGACCUUCACAGAUUUAGUUGCAUGUUCAGUCUGUGUGUUUUUUAUUAUUAUGGUUUCUUGUUGCUGUUCCAAAAUGCUCUCUCUUUCUCCAGAUCUGCUGUUGCAGAUGAUAAUGUUUUGUUUCAUGUCUGCUGUUGCAGAUUGUCAUGUUUUGUUUUAUAUCUGCUCUUCCAGACACAUGACAACCACUUCACAGGGGAGAAAAGCGUGCCAACACCUCUGUCGUGCACCAGUGUUCUGCAGACGUGGACCAAGGACACAGGGGAUUCGCUCCAGGGGAUUCGCCCGGAACCCAUUGACCAACUUGUGGUCAGGAAACCCAAGGUUUGGGUUAGGUGUUUUAUUUGAGCACAUACAUGGACACAUACCUCCUGAAUGCCAAGUAAAUAUGGCCGAGGGAUACACACACCCCAUUCCAUUUAUUUAUUUCUGUUAAAUGUAUAUAUGUAAAUAUUUUAAUCAAAGAAUUGGAAACGAACAUUCCUGAACAUUUGUUUUAAGGUAACACACUCUGAGCACCUUUAAAACAAGCCUGAAGACUUUUAUGUUUGCAUUAGCUUUCUGCUACAUCUUAAAUACAUUGCACUUUCUAAAAAGCUUUUUUAACUUUGCCUUUAUUUUCUAUUUUAAUACUAAAUGCCUUUAACUUUCUAUUUUACUCAUUUCUCUGCAUAUGUUUUCUUUUACUUAUCUAUUUUAUUGUAUGACAAUGUUUAUAUGUGAAGCACUUUGAGUCUUCCCUUGUGUAUGAAAAGUGCUAAAUAAAGUUGCCUUGCCUAACACACAGAACAUUUCAUUUCUUUCUGUUAAAUGUAAAUAUGUAUAUAUGUAAAUUUAAAAAAAAGAACUGGAAACAAACAUUAAAUAAACAUUUGAAAAGGACGGACGGACACAAACACACACACCAUUUUAAUUUCUUUCUGCUAAAUGUAAACAAAGAACAUUAAUAAACGUUUGAAAAUAGUCAUGUGACGUCAUGUGUGUUUUAAUGUGUAACACUGGGACAUCACCCUUAACAUCUAAAGGACCUUGAUAGUUAGACAUCAAGCAAGAAUUUACCCACAGCUGAUUGACAGAGCCUGAAAGAGUCAGAGGAAUGGUUGUGUCCCAGAUAUGAUAUUCUUUGACCCUUCUGAUGGCCCUCUCCAAGAUUCUAAGUUGGGCGAUACUCACUGGUUAACCUGGCGCCUCUUUUAAAUGGCGGCAUUAUGAGGGUGGCCCCAACUUCAGAAAGCAUCUUGUCGAUAACAAAGCCUUUGUCAGCCAUGCAUGCAUCUCCUGGCUGAAGUAGACUAAGGAUUCCUGACUGCUGUGUGAUUUCUCUAUCUGAUAUGGAACCAGUGUACAGCUUAGAAAUUAGCUUAGAAAUUAAGGUGAUAACUCCACAUGAAGCAAUGCCAAUCAGACCUUUGAAGGUGUUGGUAUUCUUGUAGUGGGAGAAUGUUUCAGACUGGAGGGUGAGUGAUGAGGGUGCCUCACACCUGAUUUCUGUGCCGUCUAGAAUCACUCGCACGUUAGGACAGUACUGGGCAAAAAAAUAUCUCAACCAAGAUUUAUUUUGUCCUUCGGGAAAGCGUGGAAGCUGAGGUAUGGCUGUAUACGUCCUGAUGUAGAGCAACACGGUACAACAAGAACAACUGCGAAAGGGAGCUGCCAUUGUUGUUGCUGCUGGACGCGACCGGAAGUUGGAUUACCCUACUACGCGUUCCGGAAGCAGGAAGUGUGACAUAGGCCUAUUAUUGUAUGUAUUAUAUUAUAUUUAAGCAAUAAGCCCAGAGAGGCCGUGCUUUAUACUGUAGGCUAAUCGAACAGCUAAGGGGAUUUAUUAUGCAG